This is a non-coding RNA of Aedes albopictus (Asian tiger mosquito), 58 nucleotides long. The record is from Rfam. NCBI's taxonomy places the organism in Eukaryota, Metazoa, Arthropoda, Insecta, Diptera, Culicidae.
UAGCCUAGCGGUUAAGGCUAUGGAUUGCCAAUCCGGAGACGGCGGGUUCGAUUCCCGU